RNAcentral lists this ribosomal RNA (497 nucleotides) under uncultured bacterium. RNAcentral's name for it is "partial 16S ribosomal RNA". It matches the Rfam family "Bacterial small subunit ribosomal RNA", at positions 28 to 507 of the family's 1533-position model. The record is from RNAcentral.
GAUGAACGCUGGCGGCGUGCCUAAUACAUGCAAGUCGAGCGAACGGACGAGAAGCUUGCUUCUCUGAUGUUAGCGGCGGACGGGUGAGUAACACGUGGAUAACCUACCUAUAAGACUGGGAUAACUUCGGGAAACCGGAGCUAAUACCGGAUAAUAUUUUGAACCGCAUGGUUCAAAAGCGAGAGACGGUCUUGCUGUCACUUAUAGAUGGAUCCGCGCUGCAUUAGCUAGUUGGUAAGGUAACGGCUUACCAAGGCAACGAUGCAUAGCCGACCUGAGAGGGUGAUCGGCCACACUGGAACUGAGACACGGUCCAGACUCCUACGGGAGGCAGCAGUAGGGAAUCUUCCGCAAUGGGCGAAAGCCUGACGGAGCAACGCCGCGUGAGUGAUGAAGGUCUUCGGAUCGUAAAACUCUGUUAUUAGGGAAGAACAUAUGUGUAAGUAACUGUGCACAUCUUGACGGUACCUAAUCAGAAAGCCACGGCUAACUACGUG